AGGACAACCCGAAAGAAAUGGCUCCUACUUGUAUGACAUGGGUCGACUGACACCGGGAUUCCACCUUUUGAAGCAAUACCCAACAAGAGAAAGAUUUUCAAUGCUUGAUUUCCAAGACACAAUGGACAACCCGAAAGAAAUGGCUCCUACUUGUAUGACAUGGGUCGACUGACAUCGGGAUUCCACCUUUUGAAGCAAUACCCAACAAGAGAAAGAUUUUCAAUGCUUAAUUUCCAAGACACAAUGGUAUUUUACACUCACACUGACCAUAUUAAAAUACAACGAUUGGUAAUAGACAAAAUGGUGGAAGCAUAAAGACCGUCCUCGAUGCAAUCAACAAAUUGUUUCGAAACCGACAAUAGUGGAUGCACACUGAUGUGCAGUGAAAUUUCGUUAGGCCGCUACAACGUUAGCUUGAAGUAUAUCUGGAUAUACUAUAUGUAGUGUAAAUUCUGCCUGUUUAUGCCGUGACAUAUUAUGUAAUUAUGUAAGCAAUGGACUUGCCAUCGAGCCAAUGAUGAACCAUGUUUGAUGUGAUGCAGUAUACCUCUGUGAAAGCUGGUACUAGCAGUUAUAACAACAAGAACUAUUUUGUUUUUACAAGUGAAAUGUAUUGUGCACUGAUGAGCAAUAAUAUACUUUACUUUGGGGCCAUUCCUACCAAUUUGAAUUGUUGCAUAGAACGUAAUGGGAUGUUGGUCUCAAAGUACCUAUUAGGACCCCCCAAAUAACGAGGGUUUUUUUCGCAUCACCACUGGUAUAUAUUGUUUUGAACCGCGAACGGCUUUAGCCGUGAAGCUCUGUGAUAUUUAGAAGCGACAAAUGCGAACCAAAUGUUAGAAAUUACUAUCCCUGGCCAAUAUCAAUGCGAAAGUUGUUGGGUGUUUAAAAAUGAACUUUGUAUUGACUAUAUUUAAUUUCUUGUCUGUGCCAAAUGAAUUACAAAAUUAUGUCAUUUUCUGUUGAGAUGACUGCUUUUUUUAAAAACAGAUUGGAAUUAAUAAAUAUGCUUGGUAGAGUUAUCUGCCCUUUUCAUGAAAGCUGGCAGCAGUUAUAACAACAAGAACUAUUUUUGUUUUUACAAGUAAAAUGUAUUGUGCACUGAUGGGCAAUAAUAUACUUUACAAAUUUGAAUUGUUUUCUGGAGUACUUAGGCCUGUCUUUCUUAAAAUGUCAGUGUUUUUUGUGGGCAGAUAGAAUAGAAUGAAAACUUGCUGUUGAGAUAGAAAGAUAUACUGCUUGUUGCAUUGCACGUAAUCGUAUGUUGGGCUCAAAGUACCUAUUAGGACCCCCCCCCCCCAAAUAACGAGGUUUUUUUUCGCAUCACCACUGGUAUAUAUUGUUUUGAACCGCGAACGGCUUUAGCCGUGAAGCUCUGUGAUAUAUAGAAGCGACAAAUGCGAACCAAAUGUUAGAAAUUACUAUCCCUGGCCAAUAUCAAUGCGAAAGUUGUUGGGUGUUUAAAAAUGAACUUUGUAUUGACUAUAUUUAAUUUCUUGUCUGUGCCAAAUGAAUUACAAAAUUAUGUCAUUUUCUGUUGAGAUGACUGCUUUUUUUAAAAACAGAUUGGAAUUAAUAAAUAUGCUUGGUAGAGUUAUCUGCCCUUUUCAUGAAAGCUGGCAGCAGUUAUAACAACAAGAACUAUUUUUGUUUUUACAAGUGAAAUGUAUUGUGCACUGAUGGGCAAUGAUAUACUUUACAAAUUUGAAUUGUUUUCUGGAGUACUUAGGCCUGUCUUUCUUAAAAUGUCAGUGUUUUUUUGUGGGCAGAUAGAAUAGAAUGAAAACUUGCUGUUGAGAUAGAAAGAUAUACUGCUUGUUGCAUUGCACGUAAUCGUAUGUUGGGCUCAAAGUACCUAUUAGGACCCCCCCAAAUAACGAGGGUUUUUUUCGCAUCACCACUGGUAUAUAUUGUUUUGAACCGCGAACGGCUUUAGCCGUGAAGCUCUGUGAUAUAUAGAAGCGACAAAUGCGAACCAAAUGUUAGAAAUUACUAUCCCUGGCCAAUAUCAAUGCGAAAGUUGUUGGGUGUUUAAAAAUGAACUUUGUAUUGACUAUAUUUAAUUUCUUGUCUGUGCCAAAUGAAUUACAAAAUUGUGUCAUUUUCUGUUGAGAUGACUGCUUUUUUUAAAAACAGAUUGGAAUUAAUAAAUAUGCUUGGUAGAGUUAUCUGCCCUUUUCAUGAAAGCUGGCAGCAGUUAUAACAAAAAGAACUAUUUUUGUUUUUACAAGUAAAAUGUAUUGUGCACUGAUGGGCAAUAAUAUACUUUACAAAUUUGAAUUGUUUUCUGGAGUACUUAGGCCUGUCUUUCUUAAAAUGUCAGUGUUUUUUGUGGGCAGAUAGAAUAGAAUGAAAACUUGCUGUUGAGAUAGAAAGAUAUACUGCUUGUUGCAUUGCACGUAAUCGUAUGUUGGGCUCAAAGUACCUAUUAGGACCCCCCCCCCCCCCAAAUAACGAGGGUUUUUUUCGCAUCACCACUGGUAUAUAUUGUUUUGAACCGCGAACGGCUUUAGCCGUGAAGCUCUGUGAUAUAUAGAAGCGACAAAUGCGAACCAAAUGUUAGAAAUUACUAUCCCUGGCCAAUAUCAAUGCGAAAGUUGUUGGGUGUUUAAAAAUGAACUUUGUAUUGACUAUAUUUAAUUUCUUGUCUGUGCCAAAUGAAUUACAAAAUUAUGUAAUUUUCUGUUGAGAUGACUGCUUUUUUUAAAAACAGAUUGGAAUUAAUAAAUAUGCUUGGUAGAGUUAUUUGCCCUUUUCAUGAAAGCUGGCAGCAGUUAUAACAACAAGAACUAUUUUUGUUUUUACAAGUAAAAUGUAUUGUGCACUGAUGGGCAAUGAUAUACUUUACAAAUUUGAAUUGUUUUCUGGAGUACUUAGGCCUGUCUUUCUUAAAAUGUCAGUGUUUUUUUGUGGGCAGAUAGAAUAGAAUGAAAACUUGCUGUUGAGAUAGAAAGAUAUACUGCUUGUUGCAUUGCACGUAAUCGUAUGUUGGGCUCAAAGUACCUAUUAGAACCCCCCCAAAUAACGAGGGUUUUUUUCGCAUCACCACUGGUAUAUAUUGUUUUGAACCGCGAACGGCUUUAGCCGUGAAGCUCUGUGAUAUAUAGAAGCGACAAAUGCGAACCAAAUGUUAGAAAUUACUAUCCCUGGCCAAUAUCAAUGCGAAAGUUGUUGGGUGUUUAAAAAUGAACUUUGUAUUGACUAUAUUUAAUUUCUUGUCUGUGCCAAAUGAAUUACAAAAUUGUGUCAUUUUCUGUUGAGAUCACUGUUUUUUUUUUUUUUACACAGAUUGGAAUGAAUAAAUAUUGUUAAUAGAGUUAUCUGCCAUUUUCAUGAAAGCUGGCAGCAGUUAUAACAACAAGAACUAUUUUGUUUUUACAAGUGAAAUGUAUUGUGCACUGAUGGGCAAUGAUAUACUUCACAAAUUUGAAUUGUUUUCCGGAGUACUUAGGCCUGUCUUUCUUAAAAUGUCAGUGUUUUUUUGUGGGUAGAUAGAAUAGAAUGAAAACUUGCUGUUGAGAUAGAAAGGUAUACUGCUUGUUGCAUUGCACGUAAUUGUAUGUUGGGCUCAAAGUACCUAUUAGGACCCCCCCAAAUAACGAGGGUUUUUUUCGCAUCACCACUGGUAUAUAUUGUUUUGAACCGCGAACGGCUUUAGCCGUGAAGCUCUGUGAUAUUUAGAAGCGACAAAUGCGAACCAAAUGUUAGAAAUUACUAUCCCUGGCCAAUAUCAAUGCGAAAGUUGUUGGGUGUUUAAAAAUGAACUUUGUAUUGACUAUAUUUAAUUUCUUGUCUGUGCCAAAUGAAUUACAAAAUUGUGUCAUUUUCUGUUGAGAUCACUGGUUUUUUUUUUUUUUUUACACAGAUUGGAAUGAAUAAAUAUUGUUAAUAGA
Molecule: long non-coding RNA, 3893 nt
Organism: Patella vulgata (common limpet)
Lineage: Eukaryota; Metazoa; Mollusca; Gastropoda; Patellidae
Exons: 2
Source: RefSeq, a predicted model, not a curated record